AACGAACGCUGGCGGCGUGCUUAACACAUGCAAGUCGAACGGAACGGCCCUGCUUUUUUGCGGUGCUCGACUGGCGAACGGGUGAGUAACACGUGAGUAACCUGCCCUUGACUUUGGGAUAACUUCAGGCAGCUUAGGCUAAUCCCGGAUAGGAGUUCCUGCUGCAUGGUGGGGGUGGGAUAGUUUCGCCGGUUGGGGAUGGACUCGCGGCUUAUCAGCUUGUUGGUGGGGUAGUGGCUUAGCAAGGCUUGGACGGGUAGCCGGCCUGAGAGGGGGAGCGGACACGUCGGGCCUGGACUAAGGCCCAGACCCCUACGGGAGGCAGCAGUGGGGAAUAUUGCACAGUAGGCGGAAGCCUGGUGCAGCAACGCCGCGUGCGGGAUGACGGCCUUCGGGUUGUAAACCGCUUUCGCCUGUGACGAAGCGUGAGUGACGGUAAUGGGUAAAGAAGCACCGGCUAACUACGUG
Molecule: ribosomal RNA, 468 nt
Filed under: uncultured bacterium
Lineage: Bacteria
Description: partial 16S ribosomal RNA
Rfam family: Bacterial small subunit ribosomal RNA
Source: RNAcentral